GAACAACAUUAGACUACUCAGUUGCGCCCUAACAGUAUAACUUUGCAACGAGUACUUUUUCUCAUUUAAUCGAACAAAGUGUAAAACCUAAUUAAAUUGUUCGAUUAUGCCCAGAGAGUGUAAAGUUCGAACGAAUCGAUGUCAACGGUCACAAAAACCAAAAUCGGAACAAUAUUAGACUAGUCACUUGCUCCCUAACAGUAUAAAUUUGCAACGAGUACUUUUUCUCAUUUUUUCGAACAAAGAGUAAAAGCUAAUUAUAUUGUUCUAUUAUGCCCCGAGAGUGUAAAUUUGGAACGAAUCCAUGUCAACGUUCACAAAAACAAAAUCGGAACAACAUUAGACUACUCACUUGCACCC
This 360-nucleotide long non-coding RNA is filed under the name Ananas comosus (pineapple). Its description in RNAcentral is "long non-coding RNA (ACOM_LNC042270)". Lineage: Eukaryota; Viridiplantae; Streptophyta; Magnoliopsida; Poales; Bromeliaceae. The record is from RNAcentral.